AUGAAUACUAAAGGUUGGGUGAAAAUGUUUAAUGACUAUUAUUGCAACAGUGAUAUAAUUAAUUUUCAUAUAUUUUUACAAUAAUUGUUAAGUAGAAUUCUGUGGGUUGGUCUUGAAAUACAACUGAUACACUCUUUAUGAACCUGUAUUAAAUACAUUAAAACUCACGCUGUUGUGUUAAAGUUGAAACCUUCCUGGCCAAGUGUCUGCUCUCAAGACUAUUUGUUAGGUACACAGGAAAGACAUGUGCAAAGAAUGUCACUGAUGCAAGGGGCUUAUCCAGGCUUUAAUCUUAGUGAGUUCUCAACGAAGAGAAGAAAAAGUUAGAAAAUCACCAAGUAUAAUAGCUUGGGAAGGAAAAUCUAGCAGGCAAAUAGCUAGAAAGAAAUC
Molecule: long non-coding RNA, 390 nt
Filed under: Bos taurus (domestic cattle)
Lineage: Eukaryota; Metazoa; Chordata; Mammalia; Artiodactyla; Bovidae
Description: long non-coding RNA NONBTAT005826
Source: RNAcentral